GGAAAGGGGAUGUGAUAUUUUGAAUUUGCUUCCAAAUAUUCCAGCAAAAAGAAAUAGAUAAAUAAAUUCAUUUUACAAGAAUGGGGAUGGAAGAGAUCAGAUUAUCACAGUGUAUGAAAAUGGUCGAGAUUGUGUGGUAGGAUAUAGGUGCUUAUAUUUGAAGAUGCUCCUGUCAAUCACCAAUGUUGAACCCAAAUCAGCAACAUUCUUAUAAAAAUAGCACUAAUAAUGCUUGUUUGCUUUUAAGAUUUCACUAAGCACUUGAGUUUGGAAGGAUUAUAGAAAAUGAUCUUGAAUCCAGCUUUACCUUUUACCUUUGCUCUUUUCUUCUUAUCUGCCUCCUUAAAGAAAUUGAGGAAGUGCUAAAGGGGACAGGGAAUGCAGGUGUCCCCAUGGAAACAGGGAGGAAGAUGGAGGCGUUCAGAGCUUGGGCUCAGGGUCCUUGCCAAGGUGCCCAGGCUGGCUUCAAACUUGAAAUCCUCCUGCCUCCGCUCCUGAAAUAGCUGGAAUUAUAGACAUGUGCUACUGUGUCCACCUUUUCUCCCCCAACACUUACAAUGACUAUUUUCUUAUCUCCUUGUUUCAGUUCCCAAAAGAGUCAUGGAAUCGGAGCUCCCACAGCACACUUUGUGAAACAAGGACAAACUUGAGUCUGCCCAGAUUUCUCCAAGGCUCUUUUGAGUGAAGCCAAGUAGCAUCGAUUCCUUUGUGAGGUCAUUUUUGGCAGAGUCUGCAGACUUGAUGUCAGCAAGUUUAGGAUCAUGAACACACAUUUAAUUUCAAGAUCACUGGAGCAGAAAUAGCUAUCAAAAGACUUCUGCAGGGUUCCAGGGACAAGCCAGCUUUCCCAUGUCCAUGGCAUAUGGCUUCAUAAGAUCUCUGCAAUUAUAUGUGGGCAACUUUCUUUCUAAUUCGGCUUGUGUGAUGAAAAGCUGACUAACACACCCGGGAUCUCAGUCGUGAGGUGGCAAGAAAUGAAUCCUGCCAACACCCAGGGAGAUUGGAAGAGGAUCCCAGAACCUCUGAUGUGAUCACAGCUCCAGGUGCCACCUUGAUUUUUAACCUGUGGAACCCUGAGGAAAGGACUCAGAAUGUUGGAUCUGGACUCCUGCAUGAUAGAAACUGUGACAUAAAAAGUAGAGAAGUGAAAUAUUCAGGUCUAUUUGGUGUCUGAGCAGUUGUUGGGAAGAGCAGAAGAAAAGAAAAAGAUCUCAAUGUGUGCAAGAUAAGCUGCUUUUUUUGCUUGGGUCAACUCCAAUGAUCAAGACCUCUAAGCUCUUUACUAAAGAAGCAAUUAACUUCAUCAAUAAAUAUUUAUUUGUGCUGUUGGCAGUUUGGCAGAGCUAAUUCACCCUUGGGAUAAUUCAGCAUCCAUGUUCCUGAUUCUUGCCAUUAUGUCCCUAAAUUGGCCAACUGCCAUCGCCAUUGUUUCGAAAUUACUUAGAACGGGAACUUAAGGCAAUUGCCACACUGUCCUUUUAUUCUGUCGCACGAAAUAAUUUUCCAAAUUAAUCAUAUCGCUAAGUCUCUCUCCAGAGCUAAUGGUCUGAAAUCUGAAACCAGGGAACUGCUGGUGUGGUGAGAAAUAGUUUUCCUCACUUAAUUUGUCAGACUUCCAACUGCUCUUCUAUUCUCUAAGCAAAGUUGCAUCCAAAUGUCUGUUUCAGAAUACCAUUAUCAUUGAUUGAAGAUGUUGUUUCCCUGAGCCAGUCGACUAAGGAAGGCAUUCUAGAAGGCUCUGCCCUCUGUCUUAAUCCUUUUGGGCUUCUAAAACAAAACAAAGACUAGGCGGCUUACAAACAACAGAAAUUUAUUUCUCUCAGGGUCUGGAGGCUGGGAAGUUCAAGAUGAAGGCACCAAUUGAUCCAGUGCUCGGUUCAGAGCCUCUUGUUGUCUUCUCAUGGUGAGAGGGUCUCUUGACUCCCCCAUGAAGCCACAAAUUGCGUGCUUGGGGGCCCCACCCUUAGGACCUAGUACUUCCCCAAGCCCCAUCUCUCAGGCCAUCACAGUGGGUAUUAGACUUCAGCAAGUGAGUGUUACAGGGACACAACAUGCAAUCCAUGGCACCCUCCUCGUUUUUAAAUACGCACUUUUUAAACGGGCAAAAAAGUUGGGUCUCGCCUCUAUAAUUUCAUCUGGACUAAAUGUUUACUUAAUGUUGUUACAUGAAUCUCAACAUAGAAAGAAUAUUUUCUUACAUAACUGCAAUGCAUGACCACACAUAAUACAGCCAAGAAUGAUUCCUAGUCCAUCUAACACUAAGGCCAUGAUCAAAUUGCCCCUCUUGACUAAAAGAAAGCAAAAUUGGUGUACACAUAGCAAAAUUCAAACAAGUUCCACUCAUUGUAUUUGGCUGCUAAUAUAAUAUUUUCCCUGCCUUAAUCUUUAAUCUGAAAUAUUCUCUUCUUUCUUCUAUUUGUUUGUAGUUCACUGACUUCUUGAAGAAACCUGCUCAAAUGUCCUGUAAAAUGGCCCAUGUGGUAGAUGUUGCUGAAAAUAUAUUUUUUAAGAAAAAUGUGGAGCCAACUUUGGUGCCCUUCAACAGAUGAAUGGAUAAAGAAAAUGUGGUGUAUAUAGACAAUGGAGUAUUACUCAGCCAUAAAGAAGAAUGACUUUGUCAUUUACCAAUGAGUGGAUGGAUCUGGAGACUGUCAUGUUAAGUAAAAUAAGCCAAUCAAGAAAAACCAAAGGUCAAAUGUUUUCACUGAUAUGUAGAUGCUAACCCACAAUAAGGGGGACAGGGGAAAAUAGAUGUUCAAUGGAUUAGACAACAGGGAAUGAAGGGAAGAGAAGGGUGGGUAGGAAAUGGAAAGACGGUGGAGUGGUCUAACUUUCCUAUGUACAUAUAUGAAUACCCCACAGUGAAUCCCACCAUUGUGUACCUCCACAAGAAUAGGGUCAUAAUUAGAAUAAGACAUAUCUCAAAAUGGACUCUACUGUCAUGUGUAACUAAAAAGAGCCAAUAAAAAAAAUAAAGAAAAAGAAAACAAAUCGAACACUGCA
This is a long non-coding RNA of Marmota monax (woodchuck), 3003 nucleotides long. RefSeq lists it as uncharacterized. The record is from RefSeq and is a predicted model, not a curated record. Lineage: Eukaryota; Metazoa; Chordata; Mammalia; Rodentia; Sciuridae. The transcript is spliced from 6 exons.